RNAcentral lists this ribosomal RNA (429 nucleotides) under Buchnera aphidicola (Rhopalosiphum maidis). RNAcentral describes it as "bacterial SSU rRNA". It matches the Rfam family "Bacterial small subunit ribosomal RNA", at positions 62 to 491 of the family's 1533-position model. Lineage: Bacteria; Pseudomonadati; Pseudomonadota; Gammaproteobacteria; Enterobacterales; Erwiniaceae. The record is from RNAcentral.
UUGAGCUUGCCUCUCUUUGUCGGCAAGCGGCAAACGGGUGAGUAAUAUCUGGGGAUCUGCCCAAAAGAGGGGGAUAACUACUAGAAAUGGUAGCUAAUACCGCAUAAAGUUGAAAAACCAAAGUGGGGGACCUUUUUAAGGCCUCAUGCUUUUGGAUGAACCCAGACGAGAUUAGCUUGUUGGUAAGGUAAAAGCUUACCAAGGCAACGAUCUCUAGCUGGUCUGAGAGGAUAACCAGCCACACUGGAACUGAGACACGGUCCAGACUCCUACGGGAGGCAGCAGUGGGGAAUAUUGCACAAUGGGCGAAAGCCUGAUGCAGCUAUGCCGCGUGUAUGAAGAAGGCCUUAGGGUUGUAAAGUACUUUCAGCGGGGAGGAAAGAAAUAAAACUAAUAAUUUUAUUUCGUGACGUUCCCCGCAGAAGAACA